AAAGAUUAGGGGCAAACUUAAGGGAACUUAAGGACGCAAAACUAAAGGGUCUAAGAAGACAGCCAGUUGCAUCG
Molecule: non-coding RNA, 74 nt
Filed under: Acholeplasma oculi
Lineage: Bacteria; Bacillati; Mycoplasmatota; Mollicutes; Acholeplasmatales; Acholeplasmataceae
Description: c-di-GMP sequence
Rfam family: c-di-GMP-I riboswitch aptamer
About the family: GEMM was predicted in a large-scale screen for bacterial structured RNA regulatory elements.
Source: Rfam by way of RNAcentral